RNAcentral lists this ribosomal RNA (250 nucleotides) under uncultured bacterium. RNAcentral describes it as "partial 16S ribosomal RNA". It matches the Rfam family "Bacterial small subunit ribosomal RNA", at positions 524 to 773 of the family's 1533-position model. The record is from RNAcentral.
AACGUAGGAUCCGAGCGUUAUCCGAAUUUACUGGGCGUAAAGCGCGUGCAGGCGGUUCGAUAAGUUGGGUGUGAAAUCUCCUGGCUCAACUGGGAGAGGUCGUUCAAUACUGUCGGACUUGAGGAUGGUAGAGGGAGGUGGAAUUCCCGGUGUAGUGGUGAAAUGCGUAGAUAUCGGGAGGAACACCAGUGGCGAAAGCGGCCUCCUGGACCAUUUCUGACGCUCAGACGCGAAAGCUAGGGGAGCGAAC